This 406-nucleotide ribosomal RNA is filed under the name uncultured bacterium. RNAcentral describes it as "bacterial SSU rRNA". It matches the Rfam family "Bacterial small subunit ribosomal RNA", at positions 28 to 424 of the family's 1533-position model. The record is from RNAcentral.
GACGAACGCUGGCGGCGUGCUUAACACAUGCAAGUCGAGUGCGUAGCCCUUUGUAGCAAUACAGAGGGUGGGCGCACGGCGCACGGGUGAGUAACACGUGGGUAACCUGCCCUUCGGUGGGGAAUAACCCGCGAAAGCGGGGCGUAAUUCCGCAUAACAUUCCGGGGACACAUGUUCUCGGACUCAAAGGAGUGAUUCGCCGGAGGAGGGGCCCGCGCCCGAUUAGCUUGUUGGUAGGGUAACGGCCUACCAAGGCUUUGAUCGGUAGCCGGUCUGAGAGGAUGGCCGGCCACACUGGAACUGAGACACGGUCCAGACUCCUACGGGAGGCAGCAGUGGGGAAUCUUGCGCAAUGGGCGAAAGCCUGACGCAGCGACGCCGCGUGGGGGACGAAGGCCUUCGGGUU